GACGAACGCUGGCGGCGUGCUUAACACAUGCAAGUCGAACGGAAAGGCCCUGCUUGCAGGGUACUCGAGUGGCGAACGGGUGAGUGACACGUGGGUGAUCUGCCCUGCACUUCGGGAUAAGCCUGGGAAGCUGGGUCUAAUACCGGAUAGGAGCCAUUUUUAGUGUGAUGGUUGGAAAGUUUUUUCGGUGUAGGAUGAGCUCGCGGCCUAUCAGCUUGUUGGUGGGGUAAUGGCCUACCAAGGCGGCGACGGGUAGCCGGCCUGAGAGGGUGGACGGCCACAUUGGGACUGAGAUACGGCCCAGACUCCUACGGGAGGCAGCAGUGGGGAAUAUUGCACAAUGGGCGCAAGCCUGAUGCAGCGACGCCGCGUGGGGGAUGACGGCCUUCGGGUUGUAAACGCCUUUCGCUAGGGACGAAGCUUUUUGUGACGGUACCUAGAUAAGAAGCACCGGCUAACUACGUG
RNAcentral lists this ribosomal RNA (465 nucleotides) under uncultured bacterium. RNAcentral describes it as "partial 16S ribosomal RNA". It matches the Rfam family "Bacterial small subunit ribosomal RNA", at positions 28 to 507 of the family's 1533-position model. The record is from RNAcentral.